This 207-nucleotide long non-coding RNA is filed under the name Oryza sativa Indica Group (long-grained rice). RNAcentral describes it as "lncRNA OsIR64_07g0017580". Lineage: Eukaryota; Viridiplantae; Streptophyta; Magnoliopsida; Poales; Poaceae. RNAcentral also lists the same sequence under 2 other names. The record is from RNAcentral.
CCCGCCGACACCAUUUGGGGGAAGGAAGCCUCAGAGAAGGGAGGGCCACUAAAGGUUGCGGCCAUAGAGACCGCCCGCAUCGAUUCCACGCCCUCCAACGCCCUUUUAGGGAAGGAAGCCUCAAAGGAGGGAGGGCCGCCGAACAAUGUGGUUGAGGAUAAUCCAAGGAAAAGGGUGGAGACGAAGAGGGAGCUGGACAAAAGAUAA